GUCCGUAAUGGUAAACGGAAUUACAUACGCGAAAGAAAAUCGGCCUUCUAAGCCGUAGGUCGGGAGUUCGAAUCUCUCCUGGGACA
This 86-nucleotide transfer RNA is filed under the name Pontibacillus yanchengensis. RNAcentral's name for it is "tRNA-OTHER". Lineage: Bacteria; Bacillati; Bacillota; Bacilli; Caryophanales; Bacillaceae. The record is from RNAcentral.